GUGUCGCUCAGGCACAGAUAAUGAAAAAUAUUUUCUUUUAUUUUUUUUUUCCUGUGGGAGCGACUGUUAUGGUGUAAUGUAAAUGUAUGUCUUGGCGAGCACAUGGAAGGAAUUAAUGACGACAUCCCAAAUAUCAUGCUAUGGAAAACAAGUAAUCCGUACACAAUAACUCUGUUAGCUGGCUUCUAUGAAGAAUACUUCUGAGAAGCUUGAUGACAACGGCACUCGACUGGGCAGUGAAGCACGGCAAUCUUGAGAUGGCAGAGAUGGUCGCCAAAGCAGGCGUCGAUGUCAAUGCUAAAUCGUAUGUCACUUAUUUCAUUGUGACAGGGGUAAUGUAUUUGUAAACUGUGCUAUAAAUAUUGGAAUCUCAUAUUCAGACACCGGCAUAUCUCAUAUUCAGACACCAGUAUUUCUGAGCUAUGCUUUUUCAAAUGAAUUUAGAAUUGACAAAAAUUUUCAAAGCCAAAUUACUAGUGUGUCACUGUGAAAUUAGGUUCUUGACCCUGCUUCUGAUGUAUGCUUAUUUUUCUACACAUUUUCUCCUUCAAUUUUAUGCAUCACUAUUCACUGCUGGAAUUGGUGACAUGGCUUUCCCAAAAGGGGGUAAGUAAUACUUUAAUACACCUAUGAAAUGAGUCUGCCUUUUUCAUGAAUAUUCUGAAAGCAAGCUGUCACUGCAGUCAAUUGAUAUUCCUACGCUUCAUUGCAGAGAGGAGUGAACUUUUUAUGACAGGGCAUAUCUUGGCAAACUUUAUUUCAUCUCUGAGACACUUUCAAAUUUCAUUAUACUGAGUUAAGCUAUUGUCUAUUAUUAAGUUAUUUUCUAUUAUUUUAAGUGUGUUUCAUUUUUGAUUCAAUUGCUUUAUGGACAAGCCAAAAAGCUGCUGAAGACCUUAUAUGUACAGAGCUUAGACUGAAACUUGUCCUGAGCUCUGUAAACUCUCCAGCAAAAUUGGUCAGUGGCAAAGGGAAGCAACUACUGUGGAUUGGUUUCACAGUAAAAUUAAAAAAUGUGUCUAAACUCCUUAGUACUAUUGUGAAUAGUAAUUCCACCAUUCUUAUUUUGCAUUUGCCAGUUUUUGGUAUAUCACAUCACCAAGAGUGUAUACCUAAUCGGCCAUCACAUUUACCAACAGCCCUUAUCUCUUGCUAAAUCUAUUUAUUUUUAUUUUUGCUUCAUAACUAAAUGCACCCCUAUCACUGGAAAGACAUUAAAAUUCUGACGUUCCAACAUUUCCCUUGUGAAAAGGUUGAAAAGACAGUGUUUAUCCACCUGUAAAAUUGUUUAUCAAUUAUUUAUGUGUAAGACCUUGUGAACUGAUUCCCUGGUCUUAACAAGUUAAUAAGGAGCUUAUUUCAACAAAUAUACUUUCAGGCUGGAAUGAACUGCUUUUCACUGGCAUCUGCUUUUACAUGCUGCCAUCAUAGCUGGUAGUAAAACUUUGAUACUGCUUUAAAAUACCUUGCCUGGCAUCAUUCACUAAUCCAGCUACCAUUAAAAGAUAGCUUGCUUUAAAAUUGCAGCUUUGUGAGGAUAUUACCAAAUUUCCUUUAAUGUGUGUUGUCUUAAAUUUUUUUCAUCCACAAAAACAAAGAGACAUAUUGAAUAGAAGAGCUGUGUGAGCAUUUUCCUACUGCUAGCACUGAGCUGCAUUUUGCAAUAAUGCUUUUUUCUAGUCUUAUCAGA
Molecule: long non-coding RNA, 1690 nt
Organism: Cyanistes caeruleus (blue tit)
Lineage: Eukaryota; Metazoa; Chordata; Aves; Passeriformes; Paridae
Source: RefSeq, a predicted model, not a curated record